GAGAGUUUGAUCCUGGCUCAGGAUGAACGCUAGCUACAGGCUUAACACAUGCAAGUCGAGGGGCAGCAUGGUCUUAGCUUGCUAAGGCCGAUGGCGACCAGCGCACGGGUGAGUAACACGUAUCCAACCUGCCGUCUACUCUUGGACAGCCUUCUGAAAGGAAGAUUAAUACAAGAUGGCAUCAUGAGUCCGCAUGUUCACAUGAUUAAAGGUAUUCCGGUAGACGAUGGGGAUGCGUUCCAUUAGAUAGUAGGCGGGGUAACGGCCCACCUAGUCUUCGAUGGAUAGGGGUUCUGAGAGGAAGGUCCCCCACAUUGGAACUGAGACACGGUCCAAACUCCUACGGGAGGCAGCAGUGAGGAAUAUUGGUCAAUGGGCGAGAGCCUGAACCAGCCAAGUAGCGUGAAGGAUGACUGCCCUAUGGGUUGUAAACUUCUUUUAUAAAGGAAUAAAGUCGGGUAUGGAUACCCGUUUGCAUGUACUUUAUGAAUAAGGAUCGGCUAACUCCGUGCCAGCAGCCGCGGUAAUACGGAGGAUCCGAGCGUUAUCCGGAUUUAUUGGGUUUAAAGGGAGCGUAGAUGGAUGUUUAAGUCAGUUGUGAAAGUUUGCGGCUCAACCGUAAAAUUGCAGUUGAUACUGGAUAUCUUGAGUGCAGUUGAGGCAGGCGGAAUUCGUGGUGUAGCGGUGAAAUGCUUAGAUAUCACGAAGAACUCCGAUUGCGAAGGCAGCCUGCUAAGCUGCAACUGACAUUGAGGCUCGAAAGUGUGGGUAUCAAACAGGAUUAGAUACCCUGGUAGUCCACACGGUAAACGAUGAAUACUCGCUGUUUGCGAUAUACUGCAAGCGGCCAAGCGAAAGCGUUAAGUAUUCCACCUGGGGAGUACGCCGGCAACGGUGAAACUCAAAGGAAUUGACGGGGGCCCGCACAAGCGGAGGAACAUGUGGUUUAAUUCGAUGAUACGCGAGGAACCUUACCCGGGCUUAAAUUGCAGAUGAAUUACGGUGAAAGCCGUAAGCCGCAAGGCAUCUGUGAAGGUGCUGCAUGGUUGUCGUCAGCUCGUGCCGUGAGGUGUCGGCUUAAGUGCCAUAACGAGCGCAACCCUUGUUGUCAGUUACUAACAGGUUCUGCUGAGGACUCUGACAAGACUGCCAUCGUAAGAUGUGAGGAAGGUGGGGAUGACGUCAAAUCAGCACGGCCCUUACGUCCGGGGCUACACACGUGUUACAAUGGGGGGUACAGAGGGCCGCUACCACGCGAGUGGAUGCCAAUCCCAAAAACCUCUCUCAGUUCGGACUGGAGUCUGCAACCCGACUCCACGAAGCUGGAUUCGCUAGUAAUCGCGCAUCAGCCACGGCGCGGUGAAUACGUUCCCGGGCCUUGUACACACCGCCCGUCAAGCCAUGGGAGCCGGGGGUACCUGAAGUGCGUAACCGCGAGGAGCGCCCUAGGGUAAAACUGGUGACUGGGGCUAAGUCGUAACAAGGUAGCCG
This 1491-nucleotide ribosomal RNA is filed under the name uncultured bacterium. Its description in RNAcentral is "bacterial SSU rRNA". It matches the Rfam family "Bacterial small subunit ribosomal RNA". The record is from RNAcentral.